RNAcentral lists this transfer RNA (76 nucleotides) under Ilumatobacter sp. Its description in RNAcentral is "tRNA-Glu". It matches the Rfam family "tRNA". From Rfam's summary of the family: Transfer RNA (tRNA) molecules are approximately 80 nucleotides in length. Their secondary structure includes four short double-helical elements and three loops (D, anti-codon, and T loops). Further hydrogen bonds mediate the characteristic L-shaped molecular structure. tRNAs have two regions of fundamental functional importance: the anti-codon, which is responsible for specific mRNA codon recognition, and the 3' end, to which the tRNAs corresponding amino acid is attached (by aminoacyl-tRNA synthetases). tRNAs cope with the degeneracy of the genetic code in two manners: having more than one tRNA (with a specific anti-codon) for a particular amino acid; and 'wobble' base-pairing, i.e. permitting non-standard base-pairing at the 3rd anti-codon position. The record is from RNAcentral. Lineage: Bacteria; Bacillati; Actinomycetota; Acidimicrobiia; Acidimicrobiales; Ilumatobacteraceae.
GUCCCGUUCGUCUAGCGGCCUAGGACUCCACCCUCUCAAGGUGGCGGCACGGGUUCGAAUCCCGUACGGGAUGCCA